RNAcentral lists this unclassified non-coding RNA (298 nucleotides) under Hevea brasiliensis (rubber tree). Lineage: Eukaryota; Viridiplantae; Streptophyta; Magnoliopsida; Malpighiales; Euphorbiaceae. The record is from RNAcentral.
UCUUCCUCUGCCUUCUCCUAAUUUGAAACUCAGUCUCUUUGAGCAGUAAAUGAUUGCAAUUUCUCAAUUCUAAGGCACUGCUACCAAUCUUUACUUCAUAAGGCAUGAGAUAGACAUGUUGAACAUGGCCAAAUGAUGAAAAAGAUUCUUCAACGUCCAUUUCUGCAGCUUGUUUGUUCAGUAAUCCCACCAACAAACUGUACUCAACUGCACAAAGGUGCUUCCCACCUACAUAUAGGAUAUUGAUUGUACAAAACUCUGAUGGCCAUAUCAUCUUCUUUAGAAGUUGUAUAUUUAG